ACACACACACACACACACACACACACACACACACACACACACACACACACACACACACACACACACACACACACACACACACACACACACACACACACACUGGAGCCUGCAUGGUACAACAAAGUGUCAUAUUGCUAAGUGAGGGAUGUAGAGGGAUGUUUGAGGAGAGUAGAUGAAAGAAAAAAGUCUAGAGUGUUUUUGGACCUCUGUGUGUAAAUAAUAAUAAUAUAUGCCAUUUAGCAGACGCUUUUAUCCAAAGCUUCUCCGACCCAGCUGAUUUAGUAGUGUGGUGUUUCUUCUGUUCUAUAUGGAAAACAGACUGACUGACUGCUGCCUGGGCUUAGGAUAGGACCAAUAGAAAACAGACUGACUGCUGCCUGGGCUUAGGAUAGGACCAAUAGAAAACAGACUGACUGCUGCCUGGGCUUAGGAUAGGACCAAUAGAAAACAGACUGACUGCUGCCUGGGCUUAGGAUAGGACCAAUAGAAAACAGACUGACUGCUGCCUGGGCUUAGGAUAGGACCAAUAGAAAACAGACUGACUGACUGCUGCCUGGGCUUAGGAUAGGACCAAUAGAAAACAGACUGACUGCUGCCUGGGCUUAGGAUAGGACCAAUAGAAAACAGACUGACUGACUGCUGCCUGGGCUUAGGAUAGGACCAAUAGAAAACAGACUGACUGACUGCUGCCUGGGCUUAGGAUAGGACCAAUAGAAAACAGACUGACUGCUGCCUGGGCUUAGGAUAGGACCAAUAGAAAACAGACUGACUGACUGCUGCCUGGGCUUAGGAUAGGACCAAUAGAAAACAGACUGACUGACUGCUGCCUGGGCUUAGGAUAGGACCAAUAGAAAACAGACUGACUGCUGCCUGGGCUUAGGAUAGGACCAAUAGAAAACAGACUGACUGACUGCUGCCUGGGCUUAGGAUAGGACCAAUAGAAAACAGACUGACCGACUGCUGCCUGGGCUUAGGAUAGGGCCAAUAGAAAACAGACUGACUGUGCCCUGUUAGAGUGUGCGUGUGAGAGGUGGAGUGUUUUUGUGUGUGUGUGUGAGCUGUCACUCGUGCUGACUGCUGAGAGCCAGCUCGGGGUUUGCCGGUCACAUGACUAAUGUGAGCGAGUAAUAAUUGACCUCUGCCGACAGCUCAGUGAAAAACAUGUAAAGACAUAUUCCUCUUUCUAACAGAGAGAGAGAGAGAGAGAGAGAGAGAGAGAGAGAGAGAGAGAGAGAGAGAGAGAGAGAGAGAGAGAGAGAGAGAGAGAGAGAGAGAUGAACCUGAGUAUAGGUCUCUUGUUGUUGAGAUAUUAGUGGAGAAAAAGAGGGAGCUGAAUCUGAGUAUAGGUCUCUUGUUGUUGAGAUAUUAGUGGAGAAAAAGAGGGAGCUGAACCUGAGUAUAGGUCUCUUGUUGUUGAGAUAUUACUGCAUGGUUGUAUCCAGUGGGGUUGGGUUACUAAAAUAGUUGCAGUCAGUUUCACGUGCUGAAAUGAUAGUUGCAGUCAGUUUCACGUGCUGAAAUGAUAGUUGCAGUCAGUUUCACGUGCUGAAAUGAUAGUUGCAGUCAGUUUCACAUGCUGAAAUGUGUGAGUGCUGGUAAGCUCUUCCAUAAUCACUGUACUCAUUUCCCUUACGAUCAAAUGUGGCCACGAGUUUCUGAAAAGUUGUCUUUUUUUUGUUGUUUUGCUGAAGUGACGAACUUCCAGGUUUAUGAAUGCAACCUUCAAUGUCACUGAUGCAAUAGAUUAGAACAGGAGGUUGAGUGGUUAAAGAAUGGUCGUUUAGGUACUUCCACUUGAAAUGCACACUGCAGGUGUCUGUAGAUAGAAGGUCCUCUUGGGUGAAGGGGUUCACACUGCAGGUGUCUGUAGAUAGAAGGUCCUCCUGGGUGAAGGGGUUCACAAUGACAGGUGUCUGUAGAUAGAAGGUCCUCCUGGGUGAAGGGGUUCACACUGCAGGUGUCUGUAGAUAGAAGGUCCUCCUGGGUGAAGGGGUUCACAAUGACAGGUGUCUGUAGAUAGAAGGUCCUCCUGGGUGAAGGGGUUCACACUGCAGGUGUCUGUAGAUAGAAGGUCCUCCUGGGUGAAGGGGUUCACAAUGACAGGUGUCUGUAGAUAGAAGGUCCUCCUGGGUGAAGGGGUUCACACUGCAGGUGUCUGUAGAUAGAAGGUCCUCCUGGGUGAAGGGGUUCACAAUGACAGGUGUCUGUAGAUAGAAGGUCCUCCUGGGUGCAGGGGUUCACAAUGACAGGUGUCUGUAGAUAGAAGGUCCUCCUGGGUGAAGGGGUUCACAAUGACAGGUGUCUGUAGAUAGAAGGUCCUCCUGGGUGAAGGGGUUCACAAUGACAGGUGUCUGUAGAUAGAAGGUCCUCCUGGGUGCAGGGGUUCACAAUGACAGGUGUCUGUAGAUAGAAGGUCCUCCUGGGUGAAGGGGUUCACAAUGACAGGUGUCUGUAGAUAGAAGGUCCUCCUGGGUGCAGGGGUUCACAAUGACAGGUGUCUGUAGAUAGAAGGUCCUCCUGGGUGAAGGGGUUCACAAUGACAGGUGUCUGUAGAUAGAAGGUCCUCCUGGGUGAAGGGGUUCAUUGGGCUUUAAAACAAAAAGGAGAACUACAGCACUCUUUAUAUAAUUCAAAUGCCAACUAAAAGUUGCAGUGCCUUUCGACCUCACUUGUCACAACGAGACAGUUGCCAUAGAGAAGAAGAAGUGAACUCGGGGUCAUGAAGGGGCGCCGCUGUUUUCUUUUGUAGCGGGCCGCUGUUGACUAACCACCGUCCUGCAACGCUCUGGCAGCGCUGUGGCACCGUGUCCCACAGGGGAAAGGCCUCGGGGACAGCAUCGAGACAACGUUGAAAUGCCUCAACUCUGGCUCACUCAACCUCAUUUCCUUUCAAAAACAAUCUCCUUUUUCCCCCCUUCAUUUUGAUUCCCUUGUUUUCCUGUUCCCAUGUCAGGGAGAAAAGAGGCCUGUGUGUGUCUGUAAUGACAGGCUUUCAAGGAGAGGGGAGAUGUUGUGUGUGUGAGGGUUUGCGACGCGUCGAGAACAUAAUGCACCGUGGAUCCCCAAACCCUGUCCAGACUUGUGUCCUCAAAUUACAUUAUGGGAACGCAUAGGUGUUAAAAUGUGGAGGUGGUUCAGUUUCCUACUCCCUGCUGCAAUAGUCCAUUAUUGUAGUGAAACUGUGGGCCGGUUGGCUCAAGGCAUUGUCGUGUCUCUAUUUCCUGUAUCUUUGUUGAUGUUACGGUGAUAACCUAUUUGAGGGUUUUGCAAAAAACUACAGUACAAUUAUUUUUCAUUCCAGUCCAUAGCCAAAGGAAUUUAGCAAAUGCUUGAUUAAUCCUGAACCUUUUCAAUUAUUCUCUGUGUUGGUGGAUCUCUCUGGGAGGCUGAUCCCUGUCGACCCACGAUGGAAGGAGCCCUAUAGUGCUCAGCCUCUCAGCUAUCAUCCUGGUCCAACCCGUUUAAUGACAGUAUGACUGGGACUUCAUCUGAGACAAUCCCUGUAUCGGUAUCCACAUAGCUCCGUGCGCACUCCCUCACGCCCUUAGGGCGAGGCUGUAAUGGCACCCUAUUGCCUAUGGGCCAAAAUGAGUGCACUAUAUAGGGAAUAGGGUGUGGCCAAAAGUAGUGCACUAUGAUAAAGGGAAUAAGUUACCAUUUUGGACAGAGCCUUCGACACUAUUUUAUGUUUUGGUCUGUCCUGUACUCCUGGCUGGUACAAGCUGUUCUUCAUUGCCAUACUCCUUCUGUGUGUGAGUGUGUGUGUGUGCCCUGGCUCUGUGACAGGGAGGCCCAUGCAGUCUGUGCUGUUACCAGGACACUGUUGGCUGGGUGACAGCAGAACAGUCUCACUCAGACACACAACAACCCAUCCCUGCCCUGAAACCUGCCAUAUUGGGCUCUGGUCAAAACAAGUACUCUAUAUAGGGGAUAAUGUGCCAUUUCAGACACUAUCUAUCUGUGAGGAUAGAUAGAUAGAUAGAUAGAUAGAUAGAUAGAUAGAUAGAUAGAUAGAUAGAUAGAUAGAUAGAUAGAUAGAUAGAUAGAUAGAUAGAUAGAUAGAUAGAGUAGAUAGAUAUGGGGAGAUGGGUAGGUAGGUAAAAGCCUCCAGGCUGACACUGCUGUUUCCGUAAUCUUCUCACAGGCCACUGCUCUGCUGGUAACCAGCAUGACACUAGUGUACUCUCCUAACCGCAGCGCUGCCGCGUGGUUGGUUGCUCGGUCGUCCUCUGUUGCCAUCGGCUUCCUUCCCAUUUCUGACAUCGCCCCUGGCGACGUUCUCUCUCUCUCUCUCUCUCUCUCUCUCUCUCUCUCUCUCUCUCUCUCUCUCUCUCUCU
This is a long non-coding RNA of Oncorhynchus keta (chum salmon), 4337 nucleotides long. RefSeq lists it as uncharacterized. The transcript has 3 exons. Lineage: Eukaryota; Metazoa; Chordata; Actinopteri; Salmoniformes; Salmonidae. The record is from RefSeq and is a predicted model, not a curated record.